RNAcentral lists this ribosomal RNA (495 nucleotides) under uncultured bacterium. RNAcentral describes it as "partial 16S ribosomal RNA". It matches the Rfam family "Bacterial small subunit ribosomal RNA", at positions 28 to 505 of the family's 1533-position model. The record is from RNAcentral.
GAUGAACGCUGGCGGCGUGCCUAAUACAUGCCAGUCGAGCGAACAGAUGAGGAGCUUGCUCCUCUGACGUUAGCGGCGGACGGGUGAGUAACACGUGGAUAACCUACCUAUAAGACUGGGAUAACUACGGGAAACCGGAGCUAAUACCGGAUAAUAUAUUGAACCGCAUGGUUCAAUAGUGAAAGACGGUUUUGCUGUCACUUAUAGAUGGAUCCGCGCCGCAUUAGCUAGUUGGUAAGGUAACGGCUUACCAAGGCAACGAUGCGUAGCCGACCUGAGAGGGUGAUCGGCCACACUGGAACUGAGACACGGUCCAGACUCCUACGGGAGGCAGCAGUAGGGAAUCUUCCGCAAUGGGCGAAAGCCUGACGGAGCAACGCCGCGUGAGUGAUGAAGGUCUUCGGAUCGUAAAACUCUGUUAUUAGGGAAGAACAAAUGUGUAAGUAACUAUGCACGUCUUGACGGUACCUAAUCAGAAAGCCACGGCUAACUACG